Molecule: long non-coding RNA, 2791 nt
Organism: Cynoglossus semilaevis (tongue sole)
Lineage: Eukaryota; Metazoa; Chordata; Actinopteri; Pleuronectiformes; Cynoglossidae
Exons: 8
Source: RefSeq, a predicted model, not a curated record
UUAUAUCCAUUAUUUGAUUCUAAACAGUUGAGGAUUUUGAUGGAUGUUUUUGACACCAGGUCACAAACUGCUACAAUAUCUUUUUCAAAAUCAUGUUAGUAUUUGCUGCGGUCCAGUCUCAUUCCAUUCAUACAGUUGUGCUUUUUACCCAAUGUGCUGUAUGCUAAUUCAUUUAUAAUUCAUUUUAUGUUGUCUGUUUGGCAUCUAACGUUUUUUUUUCUCUCUACAACUCAUAGUUUCAAAGUUUUGUUUCCAAUUUCACCACCAGACCUGGUGUAUACAAGCUAACUCACUAAAUAAACAGGGAUAGUUAGCUUAGCAGCCUUAGCUUAGCAGCCUUAGCUUACAUAUGGUAAACUACCUUCCUACAGAACUCAGUAUCAGUAUAGUAACCAGUCAAAGAAAUCUGAAUGUUCUCUUCUGAGAAGAAAAUACACCCUGCUGAUAAAGUUUAAUAACUUGUUCACCGUAAAACACUUCCCCAGACUCGGUUGGUACUUUCUAUUAUCGUUAGCAUCCAGCUCUAUUCUUACUGUAUUAGCAUUCACAUUUCUUUAUUUCCAGGAUUUUAAACCUAUUUAAUGGACAAAUCAGCCAUGUUGAAGCCGCCUCAGCUCCAACAAGUCUUUAGCACAGUUAAAAAAAAUGUACCGUUUAAACUGUGAGGCCCAUAAAGGUAGCAUUUGAGUUAAAGCAGCAAUUUGCAGUGACACGACUCUGCCCGUACAAUUAUAACAUUUACGGUGUAAAUGUGAGCGCAGGCAACAAUUUUUCUGCACCAUAACAACACUUGUUGACCCCCAACAAUCCAGUUGUUAUAGGAGAUAAUGCUUAUUAUUAUAUGACUGAAGACAAAUGGUUCAGUGCGUUAACAAGUACUCUGUGUGACACUGAUGGUAGGUUGGGGUUCCUCACAUGCAGAGUCAGCUUCAGAGGAGAGCGGUGUUUGAACAUCAAGGAGAACUCUACAGGAAGGAAACCCUAAAAGUCUCAGAUUCACAUACACUUUGUGGAGACCAGAAGACACUGGUGGAGCGGCCUCACUGCUGGACGUGGCUCAUGUUGACAUGCAGUCCAGGAAUCUGCUGAAGAGAGGGUCAAAGGUGGAAUGUUGGUACCUGCUCUGGAGGUUGACUGAAAAACAUUAGAUGACUUGCUACUGGGACUUCCUCUGAAGUGCUGAUGGGUCACACGCAUGACCGACAGGUUAACAAGCAGGCAGGUUUGGGAGGCUUUGGAUAGAGGGUCAUGGUCAAAGGUCGGGAUAACAGGGAAAUCCCAGAGAUCAAUGCAGUGACACUCCUCCCCCGGCGAGAUUGUUUCUUCAGGAUCUGCACUAAGACCCAGCUCGCCCGACGAACUCUUCCAUCACAGUCAUGGCUGUAAAUUCCUCAGCAGAAAAACUCUUUGAUCAGCACACAAAAAUGAAGGCGAGGACGUCCGCAUGCCGCUGUCGAGCUGCGCCCCAGGUGCUGCUGGGUCAUCUUUUUCCGACCAACGUCAGGAAUGUUUGUGCAUUGGAUGGUACAGUAAAAAGCCGACAUCUUCUACCACUCCAGCAAAACGAAGUCUUCAUUUAUAAACCUGUUAGAUAUCUGUGUUCACCCUGUUCGUCCUCCCAGCAUGUUGAGUCGGAAUGUGUUCGAUUCCCGACGCUCUCACAGACGCAGAGGGGAACACGAGACGAAAGGGUACUUACAGGAUCAUCUCCUACCAUCAUUGAGGUGUGAACUUGCGACUGCUCCCCCACCUCCCUCUUUACACCCGGCCAGGUGUCAAAGCCCCCACUGAGGUGACACUUAGCACCAGUCUGAGAAGGAGCUGCUCUCAACACCACAAAACCUCUCACACACACACACACACACACACACACACGUAGAGGAAAAGAGUAAUGUGGUGGUUGGGUCUGAAAAUAUUUUUUAUUUUAUAUCCUCACACAGAGACUACAAUGAAAUGUAUCAGUUUAUUGGAAGAACCUUUUCUCCUCAUUCAGCUCAACUCGUACUUAGAAAAUGUCACCUGAUGUAUAUACAGGUACUCAUCAGCGCCUGCUCUCACAGUACAGCACACAGUAACUCACAGUAACUCUGAGUACCGUACCGUUAUCUGGUCUUGUCCUCCCUCCUACUUUCCUUUGAAGAUAAUGAUGUCAAACUGUAGAGGCUGUGUGUGUUCGAGAAAAUGUUUAGGAAGCGUACGUUGCGUUCACACAUAACAGCAAAACUGGUCAGAAUUAACAACAGGAAGCGAAAAGCCUGGACAGUUGACUUUGUUGAUGUCGUUGCGUAAAGAAAAACCAACAGGCUAACGUUUACAUCAAAUGGUUUAGAUUUGGACCAAACUUUAGAAAUAAAAAUAAAAAAAUACUUUACACUCAAAUUGUAACUGCUUGUAAAUUAAAAAAAUAAACCACACAGAAAAAUGUUAGCCAAUUGUUAGCCACGUUAGCUAAGGUUUGCUCUGUUUAGCCACGGCUAAUAUGUUUUAGUCAUGAUGACUCCUUCAGUUGUUUUGUUUUUCUUUACACAUAUUGUUCAAGCACACAACAGUAAUGGAUGAAAUACAUUCAUCACCACAGAGAACAUAAACAUUUGUGGAAGACAGUAGCCAAAUGGUUGCAGAAGUGACCUUGUGAUCUCAGGGUCAGUGGUUCAAAUUCUUGGCCUUCCUUUGCUAACAACACACAGCACCUGCCAAAGAACGAGAGUUUAACAGUGUAGAUCAGAGGUGUCCAAUAAGGAGAUCGCAAUCUACCAGUAGACCACAAAGGGAGUGCUGGUGGAUCGCGAGC